This 164-nucleotide ribosomal RNA is filed under the name uncultured bacterium. Its description in RNAcentral is "partial 16S ribosomal RNA". It matches the Rfam family "Bacterial small subunit ribosomal RNA", at positions 1339 to 1500 of the family's 1533-position model. The record is from RNAcentral.
UAAUCGCGGAUCAGAAUGCCGCGGUGAAUACGUUCCCGGGUCUUGUACACACCGCCCGUCACACCAUGGGAGUCGGAAAUGCCCGAAGUCUGUGACCCAACCUGCAAGGGAGGGAGCAGCCGAAGGCAGGUCGGAUGACUGGGGUGAAGUCGUAACAAGGUAUC